RNAcentral lists this ribosomal RNA (252 nucleotides) under uncultured bacterium. RNAcentral's name for it is "partial 16S ribosomal RNA". It matches the Rfam family "Bacterial small subunit ribosomal RNA", at positions 524 to 776 of the family's 1533-position model. The record is from RNAcentral.
UACGUAGGGGGCGAGCGUUGUCCGGAUUUACUGGGCGUAAAGCGCGUGUAGGCGGCUGCUUAAGUCGGGUGUGAAAGCCCGGGGCUCAACCCCGGGAUGCCGCCCGAGACUGGGCGGCUUGAGGUCGGAAGAGGGGAGUGGAAUUCCAGGUGUAGCGGUGAAAUGCGUAGAGAUCUGGAGGAACACCCGUGGCGAAGGCGGCUCCCUGGUCCGAUUCUGACGCUGAGACGCGAAAGCGCGGGAGCGAACGGG